Molecule: ribosomal RNA, 301 nt
Filed under: uncultured bacterium
Lineage: Bacteria
Description: partial 16S ribosomal RNA
Rfam family: Bacterial small subunit ribosomal RNA
Source: RNAcentral
CAGCCGCCGCGGUAAUACGUAGGGUGCAAGAGUUAAUCGGAAUUACUGGGCGUAAAGCGUGCGCAGGCGGUUAUAUAAGACAGAUGUGAAAUCCCCGGGCUCAACCUGGGAACUGCAUUUGUGACUGUAUAGCUAGAGUACGGCAGAGGGGGAUGGAAUUCCGCGUGUAGCAGUGAAAUGCGUAGAUAUGCGGAGGAACACCGAUGGCGAAGGCAAUCCCCUGGGCCUGUACUGACGCUCAUGCACGAAAGCGUGGGGAGCAAACAGGAUUAGAUACCCGCGUAGUCCCUGUCUCUUAUAC